RNAcentral lists this ribosomal RNA (586 nucleotides) under uncultured Helotiales. RNAcentral describes it as "eukaryotic LSU rRNA". The stretch from base 226 to 379 matches the Rfam family "5.8S ribosomal RNA". Lineage: Eukaryota; Fungi; Ascomycota; Leotiomycetes; Helotiales. The record is from RNAcentral.
CUUGGUCAUUUAGAGGAAGUAAAAGUCGUAACAAGGUUUCCGUAGGUGAACCUGCGGAAGGAUCAUUACAGAGAUCAUGCCCUUCGGGGUAGACCUCCCACCCUUUGUUAUACCAACGAAUGUUGCUUUGGCGAGCCGCCCUAGGCCGUCGGCCUCGGCUGACGCGUGCUCGCCAGAGACCCCAAACUCUGUAUUAGUGUCGUCUGAGUACUAUAUAAUAGUUAAAACUUUCAACAACGGAUCUCUUGGUUCUGGCAUCGAUGAAGAACGCAGCGAAAUGCGAUAAGUAAUGUGAAUUGCAGAAUUCAGUGAAUCAUCGAAUCUUUGAACGCACAUUGCGCCCCUUGGUAUUCCGGGGGGCAUGCCUGUUCGAGCGUCAUUUCAACCCUCAAGCUCUGCUUGGUCUUGGGCCCUGCCGGCAACGGCUGGCCUCAAAAGUAGUGGCGGUACCAUCGUGCUCUCAGCGUAGUAAUUCUUCUCGCUGUUGGGUCCCGGUGGACGCUGGCCAGCAACCCCCCAUUUCUAAUGUUGACCUCGGAUCAGGUAGGGAUACCCGCUGAACUUAAGCAUAUCAAUAAGCGGAGGA